This 327-nucleotide ribosomal RNA is filed under the name uncultured bacterium. RNAcentral describes it as "bacterial SSU rRNA". It matches the Rfam family "Bacterial small subunit ribosomal RNA", at positions 28 to 334 of the family's 1533-position model. The record is from RNAcentral.
GACGAACGCUGGCGGCGUGCCUAAUACAUGCAAGUCGAGCGAGCGGAACCAACAGAUUUACUUCGGUAAUGACGUUGGGAAAGCGAGCGGCGGAUGGGUGAGUAACACGUGGGGAACCUGCCCCUAAGUCUGGGAUACCAUUUGGAAACAGGUGCUAAUACCGCAUAACAUAUUGUUUUCGCAUGGAGAUGAUAUCAAAGGAGCAAUCCGCUUUAAGAUGGACUCGCGUCCAAUUAGCUAGUUGGUGAGGUAACGGCCCACCAAGGCGACGAUUGGUAGCCGGACUGAGAGGUUGAACGGCCACAUUGGGACUGAGACACGGCCCAG